GGCAUGUUUCGGCGGCUCUCAGUUCAAUACCUCGACGAGGUCCACCUGCAGACUCGUGUACUUAAGUUUACAGGGUUCGCUGUAAAUUAGGAUCUCGACUGGUUGUUCCAGCAGGUAUUCCAGUUCCACCAUUUCUCACCGACAGGCUCCAUCAAAUAUGCGGAAUAAUUUGAUACAUCAAACGAAUCCUUCAGCACCAUUCAAUCAGUUCCUUCCGAGACAGUACCGGGAAGGCACUGGAAGUCUACAGCGAGGGUCAUCCCUUCCCCACUUCGAACAGCGCAGGAGCAAAAGCAUUGAGAAUGUACACAGUGAAGCCAACCAGGUGGCAGCUUCAAUGAGGGAUGUCCGGUGGCAGCAGGAUCUUGAUAAAUGGAAGGAGAAACGGUGUGGUGCAAACGCAGACCUUCUUCAGCGGAAGAGCCUACGGGAAAAUCUGAUCUGGGAACAAGGUGCUGGCUUACACAAUGGACAUUCUAGAAACUUUUUGGGAACUCAACUGGAGAAUGGAGGAUCAUCACGUAAACCAGAAUUUGGAAAAGCGAGAGCAUACGGUAGUCUUGACAGACACAGCAGACUUGCUGAUUAUCCAACCUCGACUGAAUCUUAUCGAACCUUACUAAAUAGACAAACUCCAAGUUCUACUUACCACAAUGUGACUACUGUGGAUGCUCCUGUUGCCUCUCGACUCUCGAAUCCAAAUGAAAGUUCUCAGGCAAGUGAUCUCAAAACAUUUGUGAUUGUCAAGUUCACACUGUUCCAUGGUGAUAUUAGUGGAUCAUUGUGUUGCUUCUUUCCUUUCCAGGCUCGAGUGCAAAUGGUGAGAGAGUCACCGGCCUCGUCCUAUUCCUCGACAAAGCCAUUGGACAAGCUUCCUGUGCCUAGAAAUGAGCCAAUCGCUGAAGAUUCGGAUGAAGCUUCAUAUAGAGGAUAUUUGAAAGGGGAAAGGUCAAGCACAGAAAGCCGAAUAGAUGUGGAACCUUCUUCAAAAGUCCAUGUACCGCGUGUGCUGACGCCUUCUCAAGCAUUUGAGGGCGUAGCGAGAGUCGACCCCAUUGACGAUUCAGAAUCGACUGCGAAGACCGUUCGUUCAUCGGUGAUGUUGACAUUAAGUCGGCAGCAGCACACAGAGCCAAAGGCUGUUCAUAACACCAGGGUCCAGUCCCUGCAGUCAAUUGGGAAACAAGAAUUGAAGACUGCACCUAAUUUUGCCUUAAAGACUCAACAGUCAGCAUGGCAGAUAAAAUCGACACCGAAAGUAAUUCCUAAUGAAGUGACAUCGCAUGAUGCAAGUACCUGGGCUGGGUCGAUGGAGGAUGGGGAAUGGGAG
RNAcentral lists this long non-coding RNA (1330 nucleotides) under Eptatretus burgeri (inshore hagfish). RNAcentral's name for it is "lncRNA (ENSEBUG00000017426.1)". Lineage: Eukaryota; Metazoa; Chordata; Myxini; Myxiniformes; Myxinidae. The record is from RNAcentral.